AUGAUUAUUUGGAUUCACAACUUGCAACCUUUUUUGUUUCGGUUUCUUGCUCUCAAGUCGAGCAGCAGGUAGGGGUGUGAUUGAGACUCUGUGCCUACCAACCAUACAAGAAGGCAUUUUUAGUUAGCUAGGAUUUUCAUCUGAUCAGGGAACUAAUGCUUUUUUUGAGAGAGAGGGAACUAAUGCUUGACUAGUAAAACCUUUCUUCUACUAACUCUGUCUUAAAAUAUAGCAAAUUAGACAUAACAUGUAACACGAAUCUGUACAAGCUCCUUAUUCGUCGUAGAAUUUUGAAUCUGUACAAGCUCCUUAUUCGUCGCAUAAUUUUUCACGAUCUCGCAGAUAUAUGUAUUUUUUUAUCAUGAUUUACGCUAAGAAAUGGUAAUGAUGAAAAACUGUAACAUGGCGAAAAUAUUUUUAGGGACAAAUAUGUAAUGACAAUAAAAUUAAAUACUAGUUCUAAAUAUUUGUAAUCAG
RNAcentral lists this small RNA (477 nucleotides) under Oryza sativa Japonica Group (Japanese rice). RNAcentral's name for it is "sRNA Os04g0438651". Lineage: Eukaryota; Viridiplantae; Streptophyta; Magnoliopsida; Poales; Poaceae. The record is from RNAcentral.